This 619-nucleotide ribosomal RNA is filed under the name uncultured bacterium. Its description in RNAcentral is "bacterial SSU rRNA". It matches the Rfam family "Bacterial small subunit ribosomal RNA", at positions 249 to 878 of the family's 1533-position model. The record is from RNAcentral.
UUGGUGAGGUAAUGGCUCACCAAGGCGACGACGGGUAGCCGGCCUGAGAGGGCGACCGGCCACACUGGGACUGAGACACGGCCCAGACUCCUACGGGAGGCAGCAGUGGGGAAUAUUGCACAAUGGGCGAAAGCCUGAUGCAGCGACGCCGCGUGAGGGAUGACGGCCUUCGGGUUGUAAACCUCUUUCAGCAGGGAAGAAGCGAAAGUGACGGUACCUGCAGAAGAAGCGCCGGCUAACUACGUGCCAGCAGCCGCGGUAAUACGUAGGGCGCAAGCGUUGUCCGGAAUUAUUGGGCGUAAAGAGCUCGUAGGCGGCUUGUCACGUCGGGUGUGAAAGCCCGGGGCUUAACCCCGGGUCUGCAUUCGAUACGGGCUAGCUAGAGUGUGGUAGGGGAGAUCGGAAUCCCUGGUGUAGCGGUGAAAUGCGCAGAUAUCAGGAGGAACACCGGUGGCGAAGGCGGAUCUCUGGGCCAUUACUGACGCUGAGGAGCGAAAGCGUGGGGAGCGAACAGGAUUAGAUACCCUGGUAGUCCACGCCGUAAACGGUGGGAACUAGGUGUUGGCGACAUUCCACGUCGUCGGUGCCGCAGCUAACGCAUUAAGUUCCCCGCCUGGGG